CCUACGGGUGGCAGCAGUGGGGAAUAUUGGACAAUGGGCGAAAGCCUGAUCCAGCCAUGCCGCGUGUGUGAAGAAGGCCUUCGGGUUGUAAAGCACCUUCAGUGGGGAAGAAAGCCUUGGGGCUAAUACCCUCGAGGAAGGACAUCACCCACAGAAGAAGCACCGGCUAACUCCGUGCCAGCAGCCGCGGUAAUACGGAGGGUGCGAGCGUUAAUCGGAAUUACUGGGCGUAAAGCGCGCGUAGGCGGUCUGAUAAGCCGGUUGUGAAAGCCCCGGGCUCAACCUGGGAACGGCAUCCGGAACUGUCAGGCUAGAGUGCAGGAGAGGAAGGUAGAAUUCCCGGUGUAGCGGUGAAAUGCGUAGAGAUCGGGAGGAAUACCAGUGGCGAAGGCGGCCUUCUGGACUGACACUGACGCUGAGGUGCGAAAGCGUGGGUAGCAAACAGGAUUAGAUACCCUUGUAGUC
This 465-nucleotide ribosomal RNA is filed under the name Vreelandella stevensii. RNAcentral describes it as "partial 16S ribosomal RNA". It matches the Rfam family "Bacterial small subunit ribosomal RNA", at positions 338 to 795 of the family's 1533-position model. Lineage: Bacteria; Pseudomonadati; Pseudomonadota; Gammaproteobacteria; Oceanospirillales; Halomonadaceae. The record is from RNAcentral.